This 442-nucleotide ribosomal RNA is filed under the name uncultured bacterium. RNAcentral's name for it is "partial 16S ribosomal RNA". It matches the Rfam family "Bacterial small subunit ribosomal RNA", at positions 338 to 795 of the family's 1533-position model. The record is from RNAcentral.
CCUACGGGGGGCAGCAGUGGGGGAUAUUGGACAAUGGGCGGAACCCUGAUCCAGCGACGCCGCGUGAGUGAAGAAGUAUCUCGGUAUGUAAAGCUCUAUCAGCAGGGAAGAAGAAAUGACAGUACCUGACCAAGAAGCCCCGGCUAACUACGUGCCAGCAGCCGCGGUAAUACGUAGGGGGCAAGCGUUAUCCGGAUUUACUGGGGGGAAAGGGAGCGUAGACGGUUAAGUAAGUCUGGAGUGAAAGACCGGGGCCCAACCCCGGGACUGCUUUGGAAACUGUGUAACUGGAGUACAGGAGAGGCAGGCGGAAUGCCUGGUGUAGCGGUGAAAUGAGUAGAUAUCAGGAGGAACACCGGCGGCGAAGGCGGCCUGCUGGACUGAAACUGACGUUGAGGCUCGAAAGCGUGGGGAGCAAACAGGAUUAGAUACCCGUGUAGUC